AUGAGAGUUUGAUCCUGGCUCAGAACGAACGCUGGCGGCAGGCCUAACACAUGCAAGUCGGACGAGAAGGUACCUUCGGGUACUGGAGAGUGGCGCACGGGUGAGUAACGCGUGGGGACCUACCUCUUAGUGGGGGAUAACGGUUGGAAACGACCGCUAAUACCGCAUACGCCCUUCGGGGGAAAGAUUUAUCGGUGAAAGAUCGGCCCGCGUUAGAUUAGCUAGUUGGUAGGGUAAUGGCCUACCAAGGCGACGAUCUAUAGCUGGUCUGAGAGGAUGAUCAGCCACACUGGGACUGAGACACGG
RNAcentral lists this ribosomal RNA (306 nucleotides) under uncultured Vexilliferidae. RNAcentral's name for it is "partial Bacterial small subunit ribosomal RNA". It matches the Rfam family "Bacterial small subunit ribosomal RNA", at positions 1 to 329 of the family's 1533-position model. The record is from RNAcentral. Lineage: Eukaryota; Discosea; Flabellinia; Dactylopodida; Vexilliferidae.